CACAAACCAGUUUUUGUUCUAUAUUAUCGGUUUGUAGCUUGGAAUUUAGAUAAUUAUGAAGGUUGGGAUAAAACAUGAUGAUCAAGAAAAUGUUGCCAAUUAUUAUUAAUGCUUAAAUUCAAAAACAAAACAACGAAGAGAAACCCCUGUAGUUAGGGAUCAAUCAUUCCUGAAACUUGCUAAGAACCAACGAGCUCUAGAGAAUGAAACACAGGAACCCCUGUAGCAGC
Molecule: long non-coding RNA, 230 nt
Filed under: Brassica napus (rape)
Lineage: Eukaryota; Viridiplantae; Streptophyta; Magnoliopsida; Brassicales; Brassicaceae
Description: long non-coding RNA (BNAP_LNC002928)
Source: RNAcentral